RNAcentral lists this long non-coding RNA (553 nucleotides) under Mus pahari (shrew mouse). RNAcentral describes it as "lncRNA (MGP_PahariEiJ_G0012257.1)". Lineage: Eukaryota; Metazoa; Chordata; Mammalia; Rodentia; Muridae. The record is from RNAcentral.
AAACACCGAGCUCCCCCUGAGCCGCUCGGGAACAGGGAGGGUUCUGCUACCCUGAGGGGCCCUCCCCGCGGGGCAGAGGGUGGGGGGAAGUCACGACAUGUACUUCUGACUCUAUGCUUGCCUUGAGGAACAAUGGCAUGACACAGGGAUGUGGACGUUUUUCAACCAGAUGCUUCGGUACAGCAGUGUCGGCACACAAGGAGUGUUCCACUGACUGACCUCUUUUUGUUUUCAAAUGAAGAGGAGCCAAGAAUAGGACGGCUUGGGAAGCCCAUCCUCGCCUAUGGCCAAGGGUUUCUCGUUUCUAGAAGAUGAAAGAUGUGAUGACUUAGGAAAAACUAGAAUCUGAGUAACUGUGGUGGGCACUGGGCCAGAGGUAGGCAUACACCUUGCCAUCCACAAGAGAAAGUGUGCUGUUCGAGAUGUGAGUCUUCAGAUGUUCCCGCCGCCAUAUCUGACAGCUGCUGCCAAGAUUCCCUGGUGCGAUGGACUCUUAUACCUCUACAACCAGAAGCCCAAGUAAACUCUUCUAUAAGUUGAAUGAAUCAUGCUU